AUGAUGCAGUCGCACAUGCCGUCGCCGGCGAGGCUGGGGGUGACCGCCUCGUCGCCGUCGCUCCCGCCCAACCAGUCUCCCGCGAACCCCACCUCCUCGCCGCCGCAGCAGGCCAACCCGCCGCCCGCGAGCGCGGCCGCGUCCGCGGCCGGAGCCGCGGUCCCAACCCUAACCACCUCGCCGGCGCUGCUCCCGCUCCUGCCGCCGCUCCCGCGCGCGCAGUCGCUGCUCCACCUCAUCUCAUCCCUCGCCUCCAACCUCUUCGAGCUCGCGCCCAACCGCGCCGCCUGGAUCUCGUCGUAUCGGGGCUCGCUCCCCAACUUCCUCGCGUCGUCGUCGGCGUCCGCGGCGCCUACGCCGCUGCCGGCCCCGGUCUCCACCACCAAGGAGGCCAUGUCGAUGCUCACCUCCCUCCAGACGCAGCUCUUCGAGACCGUCGCCGAGCUGCAGGAGACCCUCGACCUGCAGGACGCGCGCGCCAAGCUCGCUCGCGAGGCGCGCGCCAAGGACGCUUCGCUGCUCGCCUUCGCGAAGAAGCUGCGUGAGGCCCACCACGUGCUCGACCGCCUCGUCGACGACUACGCCGACUACCGCCGCGAUCCCAAGCGCCCGCGCGGCGCUGCCGCUGUCGACGAGCCCGAGCCGGUGUCGCACGGCGACUUCGGCGCGUCCCUCCACUCCAAGCUCAAGCUGGACGACAUCUUGACCUAUGCGCAUCGCAUAAGCUACACGACCUUUGCGCCGCCGGAGCAUGGUGCUGGGCUGCCUCUGAGGGGUGCAUUGCCGCCUGCACCACAGGAUAACGAGCUGCGGAUGUCGCAGCUGUAUCAGUUUGCUGAUUUGGAUGUUGGGGUGCCCAAGAAACCCCUGGAAACAGAGGGGGUCACAGCAGAGAUGGAGUCCAUGCCGCUAUUCGAGCUACCGGUGGAAGAGCCUCCACGGCCAUCUAUGCUACCAAUCACAGUGCCACCAGGUUGGCAGAAAGGUUUGCCUGCUCUGCUUCCUGAUAUUCCAGUGCCGCCACCUGGAUGGAAGCCUGGGGACCCGAUCGAGCUUGGUGGCAUCAUUCCUGCUGUCAAGCCUGAGGAACAACGACCCAGUGUACCGAUUCCUGUUGGGGUGCAGCCAAUGGUGCCAAGGGCCCAAGAGCCAAUACAGGUCGCAGCUGUGAACCUUGACAUUAUCAGUUCUAGCAGCGAUGAGUACAGUAGCGACGUCGGGAGCUCAGAUGAAGACGAUGAGGACUAA
Molecule: ribosomal RNA, 1248 nt
Filed under: Triticum aestivum (bread wheat)
Lineage: Eukaryota; Viridiplantae; Streptophyta; Magnoliopsida; Poales; Poaceae
Description: partial small subunit ribosomal RNA
Source: RNAcentral